UUCCUCAUCGGAGCACUUGUUUUUUGUGGUGGGAGUAGAUGAAGAGAGAGUGUCACGCUGAUGAUCCAUAUGAUGAUUAGGAUGACGCUGAUGCAAUUUUCCAGUAACUGUAGAUGUAGAGGGAACAGUUUUGUCCUUCAACGCCCUUGACGUAGACGCUAAAGACUUGUCCAACUGCUUAUCUAAUGCAUCGUUUAUUCGCUUACCUCCAACCAUUUCCGAUUUGGAAGAACCACCACCACCUCGAUCUCUAUACAUUUCCUUUCUUUCUCUAUAACAAUAACUAUAUCUAUGUCUCUAUCAACGAAAUGGCGAGAGAUCGAGAAGAACUUUGUGUGUUCAGG
RNAcentral lists this unclassified non-coding RNA (344 nucleotides) under Hevea brasiliensis (rubber tree). The record is from RNAcentral. Lineage: Eukaryota; Viridiplantae; Streptophyta; Magnoliopsida; Malpighiales; Euphorbiaceae.